ACAUCAAGACCCUGAGGCCAUCUUACCACCCUUCUGGAUCAGAAGAGGCCUUCAGAGUAAGUGGUAACUGUCCUGAUUGGGGCGAGGGAGUUUUCUAGAGGGGAGCAUCUCAUUACUAAACCCAGAAAUACAGAGACACUUGCAUGAACACAUCAACAGGAAGCAGAGAAACAGGCAUAAAAUGGCCCAAUGACCCCCACUCUCGGGUCUUUGCAGGAAUCCCCUCUCACCUACUUCUCACCUACUCACUUUGGGUUUGAGGAACCCAGGCUCUUAUAGGCUCUUAUAGCUCCCUUUAACCCAUCACAGUCAGUUAUCUCAUCUCCAGAUUUGCAAGUUCCUUCGGUUGGUGUCUUUUACCUAAGUCAGCAUAUUUCAAACUUUCAUAAAAAAAACUUAGAAAAUAAAAACCACGACCCCACCCA
This 425-nucleotide long non-coding RNA is filed under the name Homo sapiens (human). Its description in RNAcentral is "smooth muscle and endothelial cell enriched migration/differentiation-associated lncRNA". Lineage: Eukaryota; Metazoa; Chordata; Mammalia; Primates; Hominidae. The record is from RNAcentral.